UACCAGCACCCCGAGUGGUCGGGACGUUUAUUGGGCCUAAAGCAUCCGUAGCCGGUUCUACAAGUCUUCCGUUAAAUCCACCUGCUUAACAGAUGGGCUGCGGAGGAUACUACAAGGCUAGGAGGCGGAAGAGGCAAGCGGUACUCAGUGGGUAGGGGUAAAAUCCUCUGAUCCAUUGAAGACCACCAGUGGCGAAGGCGGCUCACUGGCCCGGUACUGACGCUGAGACGCGAAAGCGUGGGGAGCGAACAGG
RNAcentral lists this ribosomal RNA (253 nucleotides) under uncultured bacterium. RNAcentral describes it as "partial 16S ribosomal RNA". It matches the Rfam family "Archaeal small subunit ribosomal RNA", at positions 474 to 727 of the family's 1478-position model. The record is from RNAcentral.